Long non-coding RNA from Saccostrea cuccullata (small rock oyster), 192 nucleotides. RefSeq lists it as uncharacterized. The record is from RefSeq and is a predicted model, not a curated record. The transcript is spliced from 3 exons. Lineage: Eukaryota; Metazoa; Mollusca; Bivalvia; Ostreida; Ostreidae.
UUUCUAGAAACAUGGAAACUGAGCAUGCUGAGAGACUACGUUGUUUCUUCACAUAAAUUGUUGGAUUAAAGAAAAAUGACGAGGAUAAGUUACAUAACAGAUUAUUUUACCAAGGAGGAUAACUCUGUUGGAGAUGUAAAGUACUGCACAAUAAGGGAGGUAACUGAAAUGACCACCAUGUUGGGUCCACCU